Long non-coding RNA from Oncorhynchus keta (chum salmon), 1708 nucleotides. RefSeq lists it as uncharacterized. NCBI's taxonomy places the organism in Eukaryota, Metazoa, Chordata, Actinopteri, Salmoniformes, Salmonidae. The transcript is spliced from 5 exons. The record is from RefSeq and is a predicted model, not a curated record.
AACUAACUACUGUAGCUCCUUAGAGCUGACCAAACCCUCAUGUUGAGAGGUAACUAACUAACUAACUAACUACUGUAGCUCCUUAGAGCUGACCAAACCCUCAUGUUGAGAGGUAACUAACUAACUACUGUAGCUCCUUAGAGCUGACCAAACCCUCAUGUUGAGAGGUAACUAACUAACUAACUAACUACUGUAGCUCCUUAGAGCUGACCAAACCCUCAUGUUGAGAGGUAACUAACUAACUAACUAACUAACUAACUAACUAACUAACUACUGUAGCUCCUUAGAGCUGACCAAACCCUCAUGUUGAGAGGUAACUAACUAACUACUGUAGCUCCUUAGAGCUGACCAAACCCUCAUGUUGAGAGGUAACUAACUAACUAACUACUGUAGCUCCUUAGAGCUGACCAAACCCUCAUGUUGAGAGGUAACUAACUAACUACUGUAGCUCCUUAGAGCUGACCAAACCCUCAUGUUGAGAGGUAACUAACUAACUAACUAACUAACUAACUAACUAACUAACUAACUAACUAACUAACUACUGUAGCUCCUUAGAGCUGACCAAACCCUCAUGUUGAGAGGUAACUAACUAACUACUGUAGCUCCUUAGAGCUGACCAAACCCUCAUGUUGAGAGGUAACUAACUAACUACUGUAGCUCCUUAGAGCUGACCAAACCCUCAUGUUGAGAGGUAACUAACUAACUACUGUAGCUCCUUAGAGCUGACCAAACCCUCAUGUUGAGAGGUAACUAACUAACUAACUAACUAACUAACUAACUAACUAACUAACUAACUAACUAACUACUGUAGCUCCUUAGAGCUGACCAAACCCUCAUGUUGAGAGGUAACUAACUAACUACUGUAGCUCCUUAGAGGUGACCAAACCCUCAUGUUGAGAGGUAACUAACUAACUAACUAACUACUGUAGCUCCUUAGAGGUGACCAAACCCUCAUGUUGAGAGGUAACUAACUAACUAACUACUGUAGCUCCUUAGAGCUGACCAAACCCUCAUGUUGAGAGGUAACUAACUAACUACUGUAGCUCCUUAGAGCUGACCAAACCCUCAUGUUGAGAGGUAACUAACUAACUAACUACUGUAGCUCCUUAGAGCUGACCAAACCCUCAUGUUGAGAGGUAACUAACUAACUAACUAACUAACUAACUAACUAACUAACUACUGUAGCUCCUUAGAGCUGACCAAACCCUCAUGUUGAGAGGUAACUAACUAACUACUGUAGCUCCUUAGAGCUGACCAAACCCUCAUGUUGAGAGGUAACUAACUAACUAACUAACUACUGUAGCUCCUUAGAGCUGACCAAACCCUCAUGUUGAGAGGUAACUAACUAACUACUGUAGCUCCUUAGAGCUGACCAAACCCUCAUGUUGAGAGGUAACUAACUAACUACUGUAGCUCCUUAGAGCUGACCAAACCCUCAUGUUGAGAGGUAACUAACUAACUACUGUAGCUCCUUAGAGCUGACCAAACCCUCAUGUUGAGAGGUAACUAACUAACUACUGUAGCUCCUUAGAGCUGACCAAACCCUCAUGUUGAGAGGUAACUAACUAACUACUGUAGCUCCUUAGAGGUGACCAAACCCUCAUGUUGAGAGGUAACUAACUAACUACUGUAGCUCCUUAGAGGUGACCAAACCCUCAUGUUGAGAGGUAACUAACUAACUACUGUAGCUCCUUAGAGCUGACCAAAC